Molecule: transfer RNA, 73 nt
Filed under: Stegodyphus mimosarum
Lineage: Eukaryota; Metazoa; Arthropoda; Arachnida; Araneae; Eresidae
Rfam family: tRNA
About the family: Transfer RNA (tRNA) molecules are approximately 80 nucleotides in length. Their secondary structure includes four short double-helical elements and three loops (D, anti-codon, and T loops). Further hydrogen bonds mediate the characteristic L-shaped molecular structure. tRNAs have two regions of fundamental functional importance: the anti-codon, which is responsible for specific mRNA codon recognition, and the 3' end, to which the tRNAs corresponding amino acid is attached (by aminoacyl-tRNA synthetases). tRNAs cope with the degeneracy of the genetic code in two manners: having more than one tRNA (with a specific anti-codon) for a particular amino acid; and 'wobble' base-pairing, i.e. permitting non-standard base-pairing at the 3rd anti-codon position.
Source: Rfam by way of RNAcentral
GCCUUCGUGGUGUAAUGGUUAGCACACUUAACGUGUACUCGAGAGGUCCGAGGUUCGAAUCCCGGCGAAGGAA